UUUACAGCCAUGGUUACAGAUCUUACGUGAAAAUCUCCCUCUAGUCUGGAUUAGUUUUGCUCUUAUAGCAAAACCCCGGAGCUGCUUAUGUUGUUUUUUUUUCAUCGAUUCUGAGCAUCUUUUUUGCCCGAUGUGUUAAAAAUGCAACCUCCUGAUUUGGACGAAAGGUGCGGUAUCGGUUGUGCGGUAUCCCACACAGAUUUCCCAAGAGCCGGGACCUCCAAGAAGUCUUUGACGGAGCGGACAGGGCCGAAGCUACCGCCACCCAGCGUAUGUCGGCGUGUCACCGGCCUCCCUCGUCGUCCUCCCCGCAAUCCGUGCAGUUUUAUAAUCCCUUUUGUAACCGAUUCGCGCUUCAAUUUAUUAAUUAAUCCAGUGAUGGGCGGUCGCGCGCCAGGAGUUUAAUCAUAGAUAUGGUUAAUAAAUUGUUAGAACUCAGACCAAAAUGCAUUAACUGCCUAAU
Long non-coding RNA from Brienomyrus brachyistius, 463 nucleotides. RefSeq lists it as uncharacterized. The record is from RefSeq and is a predicted model, not a curated record. The transcript has 3 exons. NCBI's taxonomy places the organism in Eukaryota, Metazoa, Chordata, Actinopteri, Osteoglossiformes, Mormyridae.